RNAcentral lists this long non-coding RNA (1227 nucleotides) under Macaca fascicularis (crab-eating macaque). RNAcentral's name for it is "lncRNA (ENSMFAG00000056910.1)". The record is from RNAcentral. Lineage: Eukaryota; Metazoa; Chordata; Mammalia; Primates; Cercopithecidae.
UUUUUUUUUUUUUUUUAAACUCAUCCACUCUGAAGGCUGCAUUGGUUUCCAGCUGUCUACUUUAAGAAGUCAAGACCCCUCUGACUGACUUUCAAGACCCCAACUUCCCUAUGCUAUUUUCUUUUAUUCCUUAAUACCAUAUUCUUUAGUCAAGGAGCUUAUGCAUUCUUCCAAGAACACCUAUGCCAUUAUAUGCUGUCUGCUCUGUUGACCCAAUAUGAAGUGCUCUUUUGCCCCUCUUUUGCCUCUCUGAAUUCCCAUCUUCAAACAUUCCAGGUACACUUCAGAAGUCCCUCCUCCUCCUGUUCACACUAACCCACACUAGUUUGUUUCUUUGAGUCCUUCAUAAAUGUAUAGUCAGGUCCAUGUGGAGACACAGGAUUUGGAGGCAGUGGGCCUGGGAUUGAAUCAUGGCUGUAUAUUAGUCUCAAGUGGAUCAAGCAUUGCAAUGAGUGUUUACAGUGUGAUUGAUAGAGUUCAUAGGGAUCACAUGUCAAUGAACUAAUUUUGUCUCCUCAGCAACUUUUUAAGCUAGGUGCUAUUUUGAUUCCCAUUUUACAGUGAGUAAACUGAGGCACAGAGCGGUUGCAUAAUCUCUGUCUGAGGUCACAUAGCUAGUAAGGGGCAAAGCUAGGAAGUCAAAUUCUCCUCCUCUUCUAGCCUUUAUGUUAGUCUUGCCUCUUUACGAUAUAUUUGAAAUGAUUUUUAUGGUGAUUUUUAGAAUUGAUUGAUAUGCAGUAUUACUUCCUCCUGUCUCACUGGGGAAGUCUUUAGAAAAAAACACACAACUCCUUUAUCCGUAAGUGCUUUUGGAGUUAAUGUUUCUACAUGCCUUUGUGUGUGCAUGUGUGUGUGUGUGUGCAUGCACACAUGUGUUGCUGUGUUAGUAGGCUGAGAUGGUGGUCAUCAGGACAGGCACGAGAUGACCACUGGUAGUUCAGGGAUGUGCAUUCCUAUCAAGCUUACAUUUAUUUCCUACUCCCAAGCCCAUAAAUUGUAAUAUGGAAAUAAUAUGUACAGAAAGAUGAAUAUUAUAAACACAGUUUUACCGCUUGUUAACUGCAUAGCCUUGAGAAAGCCACCUUCUCUGAAUUUUAAUUUCCUUGGCUCUAAACAGUGAUACUAAAUUUCACAUUACAUAAUUCUAAAUGAGGUAAUAAAAUGAAGUAAUUAAAUGAGUAAAUGAAUAUAAAGUGAAUUCAGGUAUCCAAUUUUCAGAGGUAUCCA